GACGAACGCUGGCGGCGUGCCUAAUACAUGCAAGUCGAACGAGAGCGACCGGUGCUUGCACUGGUCAAUCUAGUGGCGAACGGGUGAGUAACACGUGGGUAACCUGCCCAUCAGAGGGGGAUAACAUUCGGAAACGGAUGCUAAAACCGCAUAGGUCUUCGAACCGCAUGGUUUGAAGAGGAAAAGAGGCGCAAGCUUCUGCUGAUGGAUGGACCCGCGGUGCAUUAGCUAGUUGGUGAGGUAACGGCUCACCAAGGCCGUGAUGCAUAGCCGACCUGAGAGGGUGAUCGGCCACAUUGGGACUGAGACACGGCCCAAACUCCUACGGGAGGCAGCAGUAGGGAAUCUUCCGCAAUGGACGCAAGUCUGACGGAGCAACGCCGCGUGAGUGAAGAAGGUUUUCGGAUCGUAAAACUCUGUUGUUAGAGAAGAACAAGUGCUAGAGUAACUGUUAGCGCCUUGACGGUAUCUAACCAGAAAGCCACGGCUAACUACGUGCCAGCAGCCGCGGUAAUACGUAGGUGGCAAGCGUUGUCCGGAUUUAUUGGGCGUAAAGCGAGCGCAGGCGGUUCCUUAAGUCUGAUGUGAAGGCCCCCGGCUCAACCGGGGAGGGUCAUUGGAAGCUGGGGAACUUGAGUGCAGAAGAGGAGAGUGGAAUUCCAUGUGUAGCGGUGAAAUGCGUAGAUAUAUGGAGGAACACCAGUGGCGAAGGCGACUCUCUGGUCUGUAACUGACGCUGAGGCUCGAAAGCGUGGGUAGCAAACAGG
RNAcentral lists this ribosomal RNA (767 nucleotides) under uncultured Granulicatella sp. RNAcentral describes it as "bacterial SSU rRNA". It matches the Rfam family "Bacterial small subunit ribosomal RNA", at positions 28 to 776 of the family's 1533-position model. The record is from RNAcentral. Lineage: Bacteria; Bacillati; Bacillota; Bacilli; Lactobacillales; Carnobacteriaceae.